AAAUAGAUACCCCGGGGUAGUCCACACCCUAAAACGAUGAUAACUCGAUGUGUGCGAUACACUGUACGCGUCUAAGCGAAAGCAUUAAGUUAUCCACCUGGGGAGUACGGUCGCAAGACUGAAACUCAAAGGAAUUGACGGGGGCCCGCACAAGCGGAGGAGCAUGUGGUUUAAUUCGAUGAUACGCGAGGAACCUUACCUGGGCUUGAAAGUUAGUGAAUGUCGUAGAAAUAUGACAGCUAGCAAUAGCACGAAACUAGGUGCUGCAUGGCUGUCGUCAGCUCGUGCCGUGAGGUGUUGGGUUAAGUCCCGUAUCGAGCGCAACCCCUAUCAUUAGUUGCCAACAGGUCAAGCUGGGGACUCUAAUGAGACUGCCCGCGCAAGCGGUGAGGAAGGUGGGGAUGACGUCAAGUCAUCACGGCCCUUACGUCCAGGGCUACACACGUGCUACAAUGGCCGGUACAAUGGGCUGCCACAUGGUAACAUGGAGCUAAUCCUUAAAACCGGCCUCAUUCGGAUUG
This 521-nucleotide ribosomal RNA is filed under the name uncultured bacterium. RNAcentral's name for it is "bacterial SSU rRNA". It matches the Rfam family "Bacterial small subunit ribosomal RNA", at positions 776 to 1300 of the family's 1533-position model. The record is from RNAcentral.